UGAACGCUAGCGGCAGGCUUAACACAUGCAAGUCGUGGGCAGCAUAAGGGUAGCAAUACUCUGGUCGGCGACCGGCAAACGGGUGCGGAACACGUACGCAACCUUCCUCAAAGCGGGGGAUAGCCUCUCGAAAGAGAGAUUAAUACCCCAUAGUAUCUUGAAACUGCAUGGUUUUAAGAUUAAAGCUCCGGCACUUUGAGAUGGGCGUGCGGCUGAUUAGGUAGUUGGUAGGGUAAAGGCCUACCAAGGCGACGAUCUGUAGCGGGUCUGAGAGGAUGAUCCGCCACACUGGGACUGAGACACGGCCCAGACUCCUACGGGAGGCAGCAGUGGGGAAUUUUGGACAAUGGACGCAAGUCUGAUCCAGCCAUUCCGCGUGCAGGAUGAAGCAUCUAUGGUGUGUAAACUGCUUUUGUACGAGAAGAAACACUCCUUCGUGAAGGGGCUUGACGGUAUCGUAAGAAUAAGGAUCGGCUAACUCCGUG
Molecule: ribosomal RNA, 485 nt
Filed under: uncultured bacterium
Lineage: Bacteria
Description: bacterial SSU rRNA
Rfam family: Bacterial small subunit ribosomal RNA
Source: RNAcentral